UCGAAGGGAUGGCUGACUCCAGGCC
RNAcentral lists this microRNA (25 nucleotides) under Equus caballus (horse). RNAcentral describes it as "eca-miR-9134". The record is from miRBase by way of RNAcentral. Lineage: Eukaryota; Metazoa; Chordata; Mammalia; Perissodactyla; Equidae.